This 240-nucleotide unclassified non-coding RNA is filed under the name soil metagenome. Its description in RNAcentral is "partial contains 5.8S ribosomal RNA, internal transcribed spacer 2, and large subunit ribosomal RNA". The record is from RNAcentral.
AACCUUAUGGACCUGCGGGCGUAUACCUGCGGAGGGAUCAUUAUCGAGUUUUGAAACGGGUUGUAGCUGACCUCAAUUGGGGUAUGUGCACGCCUGGCUCAUUCCACUCUCAAACCCCUGUGCACUUAUUGUAGGCUUGGUGGGAUAGGCUGACUUUCACUAGUCGGUCUUGAAAGCUUCGCCUAUGUUUUAAUACAAACGCUUCAGUUUAGAAUGUAAUCAUUGCUAACAAGCAAAUUA